Molecule: long non-coding RNA, 406 nt
Filed under: Rattus norvegicus (Norway rat)
Lineage: Eukaryota; Metazoa; Chordata; Mammalia; Rodentia; Muridae
Description: long non-coding RNA NONRATT001071
Source: RNAcentral
UGAAGUAAGAAAGGGAGGAAGAACUGAGCGGGCUUAGCAGGAGUUACUGCAAGAGCUCAAACACCUAAAAAUCAAAGUGGAGGAGCUGGAGAACGAACGGAACCAGUAUGAGUGGGAGCUGAAAGCCACUAAGGCCGAGGUAGCCCAGCUGCAAGAACAGGUGGCCCUAAAAGAUGCAGAAAUCGAGCGUCUUCACAGCCAACUCUCUCGGAGUUCAGCUCUCCACAGCGACCAUGCAGAACGAGAUCAAGAAAUCCACCGACUGAAAAUGGGAAUGGAAACACUGCGGGUUGCCAAUGAGGAUAAGGGUCUUCAGAGAGAACCCUCUCAAUCAAUGAAGAUGAAAUAGAGGGAAGCUUCCGGAAAUGGAACACUACAAGUAAAAGCCCAGAGGAAGUAAUGAAAC